GACGAACGCUGGCGGCGUGCUUAACACAUGCAAGUCGAACGGAAAGGCCCUGCUUUUGUGGGUUGCUCGAGUGGCGAACGGGUGAGUAACACGUGAGUAACCUGCCCUUGACUUUGGGAUAACUUCAGGAAACUGGGGCUAAUACCGGAUAGGAGCUCCUGCUGCAUGGUGGGGGUUGGAAAGUUUCGGCGGUUGGGGAUGGACUCGCGGCUUAUCAGCUUGUUGGUGGGGUAGUGGCUUACCAAGGCUUUGACGGGUAGCCGGCCUGAGAGGGUGACCGGCCACAUUGGGACUGAGAUACGGCCCAGACUCCUACGGGAGGCAGCAGGGGGGAAUAUUGCACAAUGGGCGGAAGCCUGAUGCAGAAACGCCGCGUGCGGGAUGACGGCCUUCGGGUUGUAAACCGCUUUCGCAUGUGACGAAGCGUGAGUGACGGUAAUGGGUAAAGAAGCACCGGCUAACUACGUG
Molecule: ribosomal RNA, 468 nt
Filed under: uncultured bacterium
Lineage: Bacteria
Description: partial 16S ribosomal RNA
Rfam family: Bacterial small subunit ribosomal RNA
Source: RNAcentral